This 73-nucleotide transfer RNA is filed under the name Canis lupus familiaris (dog). It matches the Rfam family "tRNA". From Rfam's summary of the family: Transfer RNA (tRNA) molecules are approximately 80 nucleotides in length. The record is from Rfam by way of RNAcentral. Lineage: Eukaryota; Metazoa; Chordata; Mammalia; Carnivora; Canidae. RNAcentral also lists the same sequence under 1 other name.
ACCAGACUGGCUCAGUCAGUAGAGCAUGUGGCUCUGAAUCUCAGGGUCAUGAGUUCAGGCCCCAUGUUGGGCA